RNAcentral lists this non-coding RNA (31 nucleotides) under Mus musculus (house mouse). Lineage: Eukaryota; Metazoa; Chordata; Mammalia; Rodentia; Muridae. The record is from RNAcentral.
UAAGGAAGUAAUUGAGCCUCUUAGCAUGCCC